Molecule: ribosomal RNA, 253 nt
Filed under: uncultured bacterium
Lineage: Bacteria
Description: partial 16S ribosomal RNA
Rfam family: Bacterial small subunit ribosomal RNA
Source: RNAcentral
AACGUAGGUGGCAAGCGUUAUCCGGAUUCACUGGGCGUAAAGCGCAUGCAGGUGGCACUGUAAGUAGGGCAUGAAACCUCCUGGCUUAACUAGGAGACGCUGUCCUAAACUGCAGAGCUUGAGGCUGAGAGAGGGAAGUGGAAUUGCCGGUGUAGUGGUGAAAUGCGUAGAGAUCGGCAGGAACACCCGUGGCGAAAGCGGCUUCCUGGCUCAGUCCUGACACUCAGAUGCGAAAGCUAGGGGAGCGAACGGG